This is a long non-coding RNA of Notolabrus celidotus (New Zealand spotty), 1016 nucleotides long. RefSeq lists it as uncharacterized. Lineage: Eukaryota; Metazoa; Chordata; Actinopteri; Labriformes; Labridae. The transcript is spliced from 3 exons. The record is from RefSeq and is a predicted model, not a curated record.
CCCUUUUUUCUCAUCCCUAUCUCUCCUCGCACUCUUUCUCACAGAGCUGCAGGCUAAACUGGCUUUUGUUGAAAGCUUGACCAAGACUUGGACGGCUCUCAGUUGCAGAGUGUCUGCUGGAGAUGAUCAGUCACCCUUUUAUGGAGCACGACGCCAUGUAUAGGUUUAGUUUUUGAAAAGGCACUGUCCCUGUCGACAUCAUGAUUAUAGGAUACAAAAAUCCCAGAUGGGUUUUUUUCACUCUUGGUGCAUUUGUGGGAGACAUUGUGCUCGCAGGGUUCCCUGAGAGAUGCACCAAGGCAGAGACCGCCAUCCUCACUGCCACUGCACACAGUUCAUUUUGUACAGGAGGUGAGCGAAAAUAACACCUCAGCAGUUUACAGUGAAGGGUUACAUUGACUUUUUAUCUGUUGAGGUUUUUAAGGGGACCAUUUCAAUUACUUAGCAAUUAGUUCUUUGUCAAGAUUAUAUCUAAAUUAUUGAGACAACAUGAUAAAUGGGAAAAUUACAUUGUAAAGGAAGUUUUAAAACUGGGUCUUUAAUUCUCUGCUUCUCUCACUCUCCUUUUAGAGGAUGGGGGUUACACUUAGGCUUCAUCGGCCUUGACACGAAGAUGCACAUCAGACUGUAUCACACAUCCGUCUCUUGUGACUGACAUUUUCUAACUGACAGAGUGCAAAAAAAGGGGAAUGUAGGUCUUCUCUUCUAGCUUUUAUUGACCGUCUGUUAUUGCAUUACGUCUGCAUGGGGACAAAAACACAUUUCACAGAGCUUGUUCAUUGAAUGGAGGUCAGAUCAACAUUGUGAUGCAUCAAAACAAGGUAGAGGGAUCUGAAAGCUGACUGGGUUUCAUCACACAGUGUCAAGGUAACUUGUUGCUCACGAUGAAUAUUUUAAAAUCAUGAGGAUGUCUCUCUGUGUAAUUUUUUCAUGCAAAAAUACUAUUUUCAUUUUUGGUCUGAGCUCACCUUAACCUUCCUGUUGUGUUCGAGUCAAAUCUGACCGAUUUAAAACUU